UACAGAGGUCUCAACCGUUGUUCGGAUUCAUUGGGCGUAAAGGGUGCGUAGGCGGUCGCGCAAGUCGGAUGUGAAACCUCAGGGCUCAACCCUGAAACUGCAUUCGAUACUGCGGUGCUUGAGGACUGGAGAGGAGACUGGAAUUCAUGGUGUAGCAGUGAAAUGCGUAGAGAUCAUGAGGAAGACCAGUGGCGAAGGCGGGUCUCUGGACAGUUCCUGACACUGAGGCACGAAGGCCAGGGGAGCAAACGGG
Molecule: ribosomal RNA, 253 nt
Filed under: uncultured bacterium
Lineage: Bacteria
Description: partial 16S ribosomal RNA
Rfam family: Bacterial small subunit ribosomal RNA
Source: RNAcentral